CGACGAUGCGUAGGGGUUCUGAGAGGAAGGUCCCCCACACUGGUACUGAGACACGGACCAGACUCCUACGGGAGGCAGCAGUGAGGAAUAUUGGUCAAUGGGAGAGAUCCUGAACCAGCCAAGCCGCGUGAGGGAAGACGGCCCUAUGGAUUGUAAACCUCUUUUGUCGGAGAACAAAACCCGGGACGAGUCCCGGACUGCGUGUAUCCGAAGAAAAAGCAUCGGCUAACUCCGUGCCAGCAGCCGCGGUAAUACGGAGGAUGCGAGCGUUAUCCGGAUUUAUUGGGUUUAAAGGGUGCGUAGGCGGUCUGUUAAGUCAGCGGUAAAAUUGCGGGGCUCAACCCCGUCGAGCCGUUGAAACUGGCAGACUUGAGUUGGCGAGAAGUACGCGGAAUGCGCGGUGUAGCGGUGAAAUGCAUAGAUAUCGCGCAGAACUCCGAUUGCGAAGGCAGCGUACCGGCGCCAGACUGACGCUGAGGCACGAAAGCGUGGGGAUCGAACAGGAUUAGAUACCCUGGUAGUCCACGCAGUAAACGAUGAAUGCUGGUUGUCCGGGUCGAAUGAGACCUGG
Molecule: ribosomal RNA, 571 nt
Filed under: uncultured bacterium
Lineage: Bacteria
Description: bacterial SSU rRNA
Rfam family: Bacterial small subunit ribosomal RNA
Source: RNAcentral